GACGAACGCUGGCGGCGUGCUUAACACAUGCAAGUCGAACGGAAAGGCCCUGCUUUUGUGGGGUGCUCGAGUGGCGAACGGGUGAGUAACACGUGAGUAACCUGCCCUUGACUUUGGGAUAACUUCAGGAAACUGGGGCUAAUACCGGAUAGGAGCUCCUGCUUCAUGGUGGGGGUUGGAAAGUUUCGGCGGUUGGGGAUGGACUCGCGGCUUAUCAGCUUGUUGGUGGGGUAGUGGCUUACCAAGGCUUUGACGGGUAGCCGGCCUGAGAGGGUGACCGGCCACAUUGGGACUGAGAUACGGCCCAGACUCCUACGGGAGGCAGCAGUGGGGAAUAGUGCACAAUGGGCGGAAGCCUGAUGCAGCAACGCCGCGUGCGGGAUGACGGCCUUCGGGUUGUAAACCGCUUUCGCCUGUGACGAAGCGUGAGUGACGGUAAUGGGUAAAGAAGCACCGGCUAACUACGUG
Molecule: ribosomal RNA, 468 nt
Filed under: uncultured bacterium
Lineage: Bacteria
Description: partial 16S ribosomal RNA
Rfam family: Bacterial small subunit ribosomal RNA
Source: RNAcentral